ACAUCACAAUGGCUUAGGCAACCAAUAAUCAGCAGCCACAUGUGAAGGAGAGUGCCCCAAGGAUGCUGGUAGCUCAACCAGUCUCACUUCACCCCACCUCAUUACGCAUCUUCCCGACUCAGCUCAGAACUUCUCUCAGCCUUCCAUUGAGUUGAUGAUCUUCCUGUCUAGCUGCUAUGAUGGCAAUCGCUCUUGGAACCUUUGUGAUGUGGGGAAUCCAGCAGCAGGUUCCCGGACUCUGAUUUGACCUCUAACAAAAGCAAAUUCUGCUGUUUGAAUUGGCUAAUGGUUUUGAUCAUCAUUAGAUUCUUCAUCAAAAUCUGGAUUAUUAUUUUUUUAAAAAAAGAUAUACACUAUAUCAGGAAGAGAACAGAAUCCUGCAUGUGCUAAGAUAAGAUGUCCAUAGCAUUGCUUAAUUUGCCAGGGGUGGAGAUGUAUAAUUAGCACUAGCAAAAGCACUUAGACUUAUAUACCGCUUCACAGUGCUUUACAGCCCUCUCUAAGCAUCAGCCUCUUUCCCCCAACAAUCUGGGUCCUCAUUUUACCGACCUUGGAAGGAUGGAAGGCUGAGUCAACCUUGAGCCUGGUGAGAUAUGAACUGCCAAAUUGCAGGCAGCUGGCAGUCAGCAAAAGUAGCCUGCAGUACUGCAUUCUAAUCACGCUGCCACCAUGGCUCAUAAUUGAUUUAAUGCUUCAGGAGACUUCCAGCGGUGAUGUCACGCUGUAGCGGGGCACAUGAGUGGGGCUCUGCUUGUUUGUACCCGAUUUUCCAUGUUUUUGAAGCUUUUUUGGCAGGCCGGAUCUUGGAGGGAUCGGUGAGGUUGAGGGGUUUCUUCGGAGUUUGAACAUGGAGCAGUGUGAGCACCUGUUUGGCGAGAAGAGCCCUCCGGAUACACACGUAAGAAAUCUGCUUGAGAAUGGCAGAUCCAGAGGCAUGAUGCCCCGAUGAUUUGUACAGGGAGCGAAUAGUGGAAAGCAGCUUGAAGAACUGGAGAGAGGAGAAUAAAAGUGACAGAAAAGGAAAACUCUCAGAGAUUGUUAAAAGAUUCGAAAGAGAAGCAGUAAAGUGAGACGCCAAGAGGGAGCUUGAGCAGCAAGGCAGCGGUGGGAGCGGAGAUCGAGAGCUGUCAAACAGGAAAAGAACUUAUCAUGGUGAGUGGAGCAAACGAAUGGAUUGGGACUUGUUUGCUACAUUUUUGGUACUAGAAGAAACUUUAUACUCUUGGAUGCUAUUGUUGGGGGGUAAGAAGAGAAAGUUGGCUUUGAAGGAUAUGUUGGAGGUGAUAGAUUAAAAUCUGAGCUACAGACAACAAAGGUGACUCUGCAGUUUUAAAUAAAGAAGACAUUUUGAAGGAAGGGGUGAAAAACUCUUUUAAAAAAAAUCUUGUGUCUGUUAACUACUUGAAGA
Molecule: non-coding RNA, 1408 nt
Organism: Pantherophis guttatus
Lineage: Eukaryota; Metazoa; Chordata; Lepidosauria; Squamata; Colubridae
Source: RefSeq, a predicted model, not a curated record